UACGGAGGGGACUAGCGUUGUUCGGAAUUACUGGGCGUAAAGCGCACGUAGGCGGAUUUGUAAGUCAGGGGUGAAAUCCCGGGGCUCAACCUCGGAACUGCCUUUGAUACUGCAAAUCUCGAGUCCGGAAGAGGUGAGUGGAAUUCCUAGUGUAGAGGUGAAAUUCGUAGAUAUUAGGAAGAACACCAGUGGCGAAGGCGGCUCACUGGUCCGGUACUGACGCUGAGGUGCGAAAGCGUGGGGAGCGAACGGG
This 253-nucleotide ribosomal RNA is filed under the name uncultured bacterium. RNAcentral's name for it is "partial 16S ribosomal RNA". It matches the Rfam family "Bacterial small subunit ribosomal RNA", at positions 524 to 776 of the family's 1533-position model. The record is from RNAcentral.